UGCAGUAAGCAGCUUUCACAGAGAUUCUUCCAGUGUAGCGGCUCCAGCACUGGGUGGAGUGGGAUCGUCAAUGCCGUCCCCCAGGGUUCAGAGUUGCUCUGAGCCCCGCCCCCAGGUGGCCCGGCAGCCCACCCAGUUAGUCACGUGCUGGCGGCUAGCCAAUCAUCGGGGGCGGUGCGGGGCGGGGCGGUAGAGACGGAGAAAGCGAAGGGUAAGACACCGCCCUGCAGACUUUCCAGCGGAUCCCCCGGUGUCCUCAUGUCGCGCAGCGGAACCGGUCCUGAGCAGCGCCAGCAGGCGUCAGAGGCGGACACCGCAGCAGCAACCUUCCGACCAAGCGACCAUCAGCAUAUCCGCUACAACCCGCUGCAGGAUGAGUGGGUGCUGGUGUCUGCUCACCGCAUGAAGCGUCCCUGGCAGGGUCAAGUGGAACCCCAGCUUCUGAAGACAGUGCCCCGCCAUGACCCCCUCAACCCUCUGUGUCCCGGGGCCACCCGAGCCAAUGGAGAGGUGAAUCCCCACUACAAUAGCACCUUCCUGUUUGACAACGACUUCCCAGCUCUGCAGCCUGAUGCCCCCAGUCCAGGACCCAGCGAUCAUCCCCUUUUCCAAGCAAAGGCUGCUCGAGGAGUCUGUAAGGUCAUGUGCUUCCACCCCUGGUCGGAUGUGACGCUGCCACUCAUGUCGGUCCCUGAGAUUCGGGCUGUUGUCGAUGCAUGGGCCUCAGUCACAGAGGAGCUGGGUGCCCAGUACCCUUGGGUGCAGAUCUUUGAAAACAAAGGCGCCAUGAUGGGCUGUUCCAACCCCCACCCCCACUGCCAGGUGUGGGCCAGCAGUUUCCUGCCAGAUAUUGCCCAGCGUGAGGAGCGAUCUCAGCAGGCCUAUAAGAGUCAGCAUGGAGAGCCCCUGCUACUGGAGUAUAGCCGCCAGGAGCUACUCAGGAAGGAACGUCUGGUCCUAACCAGUGAGCACUGGUUAGUGCUGGUCCCCUUCUGGGCAACGUGGCCCUACCAGACACUGCUGCUGCCCCGUCGGCAUGUGCGACGGCUACCUGAGCUGACCCCUGCAGAGCGUGAUGAUCUAGCCUCCAUCAUGAAGAAGCUCUUGACCAAGUAUGACAACCUAUUUGAGACGUCCUUUCCCUACUCCAUGGGCUGGCAUGGUGAGGCUUUUCAAGUACCUAUAUCUAGUCCCAACACCAUUUUUGGGCUCCUGGGGCCUGGCUUAGUGAACUACAUUCCCAAAUGAGCGAGACUUGAAACAGUUGCUGGGGGAAGUGGCCAGAGCAGAGAUGCUGGGACUGAGGUUGGAGCAGCAAACUUGGUGAAACUGUGUCUCCAAUGUGCUUUCUAAUUUCCUGCCAGCUCUUCUCAGGGGCUCCCACAGGAUCAGAAGCCGGGGCCAACUGGGAGCACUGGCAGCUGCACGCUCAUUACUACCCUCCGCUCCUGCGCUCUGCCACUGUCCGGAAAUUCAUGGUUGGCUACGAAAUGCUUGCUCAGGCUCAGAGGGACCU
Sapajus apella (tufted capuchin) is the source of this 1516-nucleotide RNA transcript. It is a transcript of the gene named galactose-1-phosphate uridylyltransferase, with no coding region annotated. The record is from RefSeq and is a predicted model, not a curated record. The transcript has 10 exons. Lineage: Eukaryota; Metazoa; Chordata; Mammalia; Primates; Cebidae.